GCUUCGGUGUCCUAGUGGUUAGAACGUAAGCCUAGGGAGCGGGAGGUCGUGGGUUCGAACCCCAAUCGAGUCA
Non-coding RNA from Potamilus streckersoni, 73 nucleotides. The record is from the annotation of a GenBank genome assembly. Lineage: Eukaryota; Metazoa; Mollusca; Bivalvia; Unionida; Unionidae.